Molecule: ribosomal RNA, 198 nt
Filed under: uncultured bacterium
Lineage: Bacteria
Description: partial 16S ribosomal RNA
Rfam family: Bacterial small subunit ribosomal RNA
Source: RNAcentral
ACGCUCGACACCUCGGGAGCAGCAGUUGGGAAUAUUGGACAAUGGAGGAAACUCUGAUCCAGUGACGCCGCGUGAAGGAAGAAGGUCUUCGGAUUGUAAACUUAUUUUGUCAGGGAAGAAAAAUGACUGUACCUGAAAGAAAAAGCACCGGCUAACUACGUGCCAGCGGCCGCGGUAAUCUGAGCGGGCUGGCAAGGC